UCUAAGUAAACGCGGCGGAUAAUUAACCAGGGAUUGCGAAAAAAGCAGAUGCUAAAUUGCGAUCUUACGCUUCGCGGAUAUCUUCAAUUCUUUAAAAAGCGAGAAUCGGAUAGUUCAAAAAUACUUUGUUCUCUAACUUCAAGAACCUGGAGAGCACGCACCACGGCCUCCGGUCGGCUUCCCAAGUGAGUAUUGUCGUUCGGACUCGCGGGACUGUCCCAAACUUCACCCGAUGGUAACACCUCCCAGCCUUGCGCACGAGCCUGGAGAACGCUUUUGUCUUCCUCCAACUGCUUCACCCGUUGCUCC
Solenopsis invicta (red fire ant) is the source of this 309-nucleotide long non-coding RNA. RefSeq lists it as uncharacterized. The record is from RefSeq and is a predicted model, not a curated record. The transcript has 2 exons. Lineage: Eukaryota; Metazoa; Arthropoda; Insecta; Hymenoptera; Formicidae.